This 608-nucleotide ribosomal RNA is filed under the name uncultured cyanobacterium. RNAcentral describes it as "bacterial SSU rRNA". It matches the Rfam family "Bacterial small subunit ribosomal RNA", at positions 8 to 663 of the family's 1533-position model. The record is from RNAcentral. Lineage: Bacteria; Bacillati; Cyanobacteriota.
AGAGUGUGAUCCUGGCUCAGGAUGAACGCUGGCGGCGUGCUUAACACAUGCAAGUCGAACGAACCUUCGGGUUAGUGGCGGACGGGUGAGUAACGCGUGGGAAUCUGCCCUCAGGAGGGGGAUAACGGCUGGAAACGGCCGCUAAUACCCCAUAUGCCGAGAGGUGAAAUGAAUUUCGCCUGAGGAUGAGCCCGCGUCUGAUUAGCUAGUUGGUGAGGUAAGAGCUCACCAAGGCAUCGAUCAGUAGCUGGUCUGAGAGGAUGAUCAGCCACACUGGGACUGAGACACGGCCCAGACUCCUACGGGAGGCAGCAGUGGGGAAUUUUCCGCAAUGGGCGAAAGCCUGACGGAGCAACGCCGCGUGAGGGAUGAAGGCCUCUGGGCUGUAAACCUCUUUUCUCAAGGAAGAAGAUCUGACGGUACUUGAGGAAUAAGCCACGGCUAAUUCCGUGCCAGCAGCCGCGGUAAUACGGGAGUGGCAAGCGUUAUCCGGAAUUAUUGGGCGUAAAGCGUCCGCAGGCGGCCCUUCAAGUCUGCUGUUAAAACGUGGAGCUUAACUCCAUCAUGGCAGUGGAAACUGUUGGGCUUGAGUGUGGUAGGGGCAGAGG